This 377-nucleotide ribosomal RNA is filed under the name uncultured bacterium. RNAcentral describes it as "bacterial SSU rRNA". It matches the Rfam family "Bacterial small subunit ribosomal RNA", at positions 521 to 896 of the family's 1533-position model. The record is from RNAcentral.
UAAUACGUAGGGGGCAAGCGUUGUCCGGAUUUAUUGGGCGUAAAGCGCGUGUAGGCGGCCAGGCAGGUCCGUUGUGAAAACUGGAGGCUCAACCUCCAGACGUCGAUGGAAACCGCUUGGCUAGAGUCCGGAAGAGGAGAGUGGAAUUCCUGGUGUAGCGGUGAAAUGCGCAGAUAUCAGGAAGAACACCGAUGGCGAAGGCAGCUCUCUGGGACGGUACUGACGCUGAGACGCGAAAGCGUGGGGAGCAAACAGGAUUAGAUACCCUGGUAGUCCACGCCGUAAACGAUGGGUGCUAGGUGUGGGAGGUGUCGACUCCUCCCGUGCCGCAGCUAACGCAUUAAGCACCCCGCCUGGGGAGUACGGCCGCAAGGCUA